AGUCGUGUUCCUAGAUUAUCAGAUACCCAUUUAUUACUCAGCUAGGGGAGUUCGACAUAUUUUUCGCUAUAUGCCACAUAUAUGGCAUUAAAAGGCAAAUCCAAUAAAAGAAAUUCCAAACCAAACCAGGUUUGUGGGUAUUACAGUGGUAACCUUCCAAGUCAGAUUAUUUUAACGAGCAGAUUAUCACUGAUUAUUUUAACAAGCUGUGACCCACUGUAGAUAUGUAAAUAUAAUUAAAAUUCAAGGAGGCUAUGAAAAUCUUUCUCGACCUGUCAGACCCAUUUAAAUGUGUAAGUUCCGAAAAUAUAUCAUUCUCAUAUCGACCCCCGUCCUGCUCGCAUCAAAAUUUGUGGUUUUGUCCCAUAUAGGUGUUUUUUGGCUACUGAAGAUCGUUGACUUCUCGAAUUAAUCAUGUGCUGUGGACCUUGUGGAUCGUGCUGUGGACCUUGCGGAUAUUACUGCUCUCCCUGUGGACCCUGCUGUGGACCUUGUGGACCACGUUGUGGUCCGUGUGGAUCCUGCUGUGGACCCUGUGGA
Drosophila santomea is the source of this 540-nucleotide RNA transcript. RefSeq lists it as uncharacterized. The record is from RefSeq and is a predicted model, not a curated record. NCBI's taxonomy places the organism in Eukaryota, Metazoa, Arthropoda, Insecta, Diptera, Drosophilidae. The transcript is spliced from 2 exons.